Molecule: unclassified non-coding RNA, 208 nt
Filed under: root metagenome
Description: partial contains small subunit ribosomal RNA, internal transcribed spacer 1, and 5.8S ribosomal RNA
Source: RNAcentral
UCUCCGUAGGUGAACCUGCGGAGGGAUCAUUACUGAGUUUUUAACUCUCCAAACCAUGUGAACUUACCACUGUUGCCUCGGUGGUCGGUGCUGGAAACAGUGCUGCCACCGGUGGACUACUAAACUCUUAUGUCUUUAGUGGUUUUCUCCUCUGAGUGACACAUAAACAAAUAAAUAAAAACUUUCAACAACGGAUCUCUUGGUUCUG